GGUCAAGGGAUGGGAAUCUCGAACCCACGACCUUCCGCUUACCGGGCAGAUGCCAUGACCACUAGGCUACCCUGGAC
This is a non-coding RNA of Cordylochernes scorpioides, 77 nucleotides long. NCBI's taxonomy places the organism in Eukaryota, Metazoa, Arthropoda, Arachnida, Pseudoscorpiones, Chernetidae. The record is from the annotation of a GenBank genome assembly.